UUGAACGCUGGCGGCAGGCCUAACCCAUGCAAGUCGAGCGGAUGAAGGGAGCUUGCUCCUGGAUUCAGCGGCGGACGGGUGAGUAAUGCCUAGGAAUCUGCCUGGUAGUGGGGGAUAACGUCCGGAAACGGGCGCUAAUACCGCAUACGUCCUGAGGGAGAAAGUGGGGGAUCUUCGGACCUCACGCUAUCAGAUGAGCCUAGGUCGGAUUAGCUAGUUGGUGGGGUAAAGGCCUACCAAGGCGACGAUCCGUAACUGGUCUGAGAGGAUGAUCAGUCACACUGGAACUGAGACACGGUCCAGACUCCUACGGGGGGCAGCAGUGGGGAAUAUUGGACAAUGGGCGAAAGCCUGAUCCAGCCAUGCCGCGUGUGUGAAGAAGGUCUUCGGAUUGUAAAGCACUUUAAGUUGGGAGGAAGGGCAGUAAGUUAAUACCUUGCUGUUUUGACGUUACCAACAGAAUAAGCACCGGCUAACUUCGUG
RNAcentral lists this ribosomal RNA (483 nucleotides) under uncultured bacterium. RNAcentral describes it as "partial 16S ribosomal RNA". It matches the Rfam family "Bacterial small subunit ribosomal RNA", at positions 30 to 507 of the family's 1533-position model. The record is from RNAcentral.